RNAcentral lists this ribosomal RNA (1019 nucleotides) under Bacillus sp. (in: firmicutes). Its description in RNAcentral is "bacterial SSU rRNA". It matches the Rfam family "Bacterial small subunit ribosomal RNA", at positions 9 to 1009 of the family's 1533-position model. Lineage: Bacteria; Bacillati; Bacillota; Bacilli; Caryophanales; Bacillaceae. The record is from RNAcentral. RNAcentral also lists the same sequence under 1 other name.
GAGUUUGAUCCUGGCUCAGGAUGAACGCUGGCGGCGUGCCUAAUACAUGCAAGUCGAGCGAAUGGAUUAAGAGCUUGCUCUUAUGAAGUUAGCGGCGGACGGGUGAGUAACACGUGGGUAACCUGCCCAUAAGACUGGGAUAACUCCGGGAAACCGGGGCUAAUACCGGAUAACAUUUUGAACUGCAUGGUUCGAAAUUGAAAGGCGGCUUCGGCUGUCACUUAUGGAUGGACCCGCGUCGCAUUAGCUAGUUGGGGAGGUAACGGCUCACCAAGGCAACGAUGCGUAGCCGACCUGAGAGGGUGAUCGGCCACACUGGGACUGAGACACGGCCCAGAUCCUACGGGAGGCAGCAGUAGGGAAUCUUCCGCAAUGGACGAAAGUCUGACGGAGCAACGCCGCGUGAGUGAUGAAGGCUUUCGGGUCGUAAAACUCUGUUGUUAGGGAAGAACAAGUGCUAGUUGAAUAAGCUGGCACCUUGACGGUACCUAACCAGAAAGCCACGGCUAACUACGUGCCAGCAGCCGCGGUAAUACGUAGGUGGCAAGCGUUAUCCGGAAUUAUUGGGCGUAAAGCGCGCGCAGGUGGUUUCUUAAGUCUGAUGUGAAAGCCCACGGCUCAACCGUGGAGGGUCAUUGGAAACUGGGAGACUUGAGUGCAGAAGAGGAAGUGGAAUUCCAUGUGUAGCGGUGAAAUGCGUAAAGAUAUGGAGGAACACCAGUGGCGAAGGCGACUUUCUGGUCUGUAACUGACACUGAGGCCCGAAAACGUGGGGAGCAAACAGGAUUAAAUACCCUGGUAGUCCACCCCGUAAACGAGGAAUGCUAAGUGUUAAAGGGUUUCCCCCCUUUAGUGCUGAAGUUAACCCAUUAAGCACUCCCCCUGGGGAGUACGGCCGCAAGGCUGAAACUCAAAGGAAUUGACGGGGGCCCGCACAAGCGGUGGAGCAUGUGGUUUAAUUCGAAGCAACGCGAAGAACCUUACCAGGUCUUGACAUCCUCUGAAAACCCUAGAGAUAG